AGAGUUUGAUCCUGGCUCAGAUUGAACGCUGGCGGAAUGCUUUACACAUGCAAGUCGAGCGGCAGCGCGGGGCAACCUGGCGGCGAGCGGCGAACGGGUGAGUAACAUAUCGGAACGUACCCUAUCGUGGGGGAUAACGAAUCGAAAGAUUCGCUAAUACCGCAUACGACCUGAGGGUGAAAGCGGGGGAUCGCAAGACCUCGCGCGACAGGAGCGGCCGAUAUCGGAUUAGCUAGUUGGUGAGGUAAAGGCUCACCAAGGCGACGAUCCGUAGCUGGUCUGAGAGGACGACCAGCCACACUGGGACUGAGACACGGCCCAGACUCCUACGGGAGGCAGCAGUGGGGAAUUUUGGACAAUGGGGGAAACCCUGAUCCAGCCAUUCCGCGUGAGUGAAGAAGGCCUUCGGGUUGUAAAGCUCUUUCGGCAGGAACGAAAGGUGCGGGCUAAUACCCUGUAUCAAUGACGGUACCUGAAGAAGAAGCACCGGCUAACUACGUGCCAGCAGCCCGCGGUUAAUACCUUAGGGAUGCGAGCGUUAAUCGGAAUUACUGGGGCGUAAAGCGUGCGCAAGCGGUUUGUAAGACAGAUGUGAAAUCCCCGGGCUUAACCUGGGAACUGCGUUUGUGACUGCAAGACUUGAGUGCGGCAGAGGGGGGUGGAAUUCCACGUGUAGCAGUGAAAUGCGUAAGAUGUGGAGGAACACCGAUGGCGAAGGCAGCCCCCUGGGUCGACACUGACGCUCAUGCACGAAAGCGUGGGUAGCAAACAGGAUUAGAUACCCUGGUAGUCCACGCCCUAAACGAUGCCAACUAGGUGUUGGGGAAGGAGACUUCCUUAGUACCGUAGCUAACGCGUGAAGUUGGCCGCCUGGGGAGUACGGUCGCAAGAUUAAAACUCAAAGGAAUUGACGGGGACCCGCACAAGCGGUGGAUGAUGUGGAUUAAUUCGAUGCAACGCGAAAAACCUUACCUACCCUUGACAUGCCAGGAAUCCCGGAGAGAUUUGGGAGUGCUCGAAAGAGAGCCUGGACACAGGUGCUGCAUGGCUGUCGUCAGCUCGUGUCGUGAGAUGUUGGGUUAAGUCCCGCAACGAGCGCAACCCUUGUCAUUAGUUGCCAUCAUUUAGUUGGGCACUCUAAUGAGACUGCCGGUGACAAACCGGAGGAAGGUGGGGAUGACGUCAAGUCCUCAUGGCCCUUAUGGGUAGGGCUUCACACGUCAUACAAUGGUCGGUACAGAGGGUUGCCAAGCCGCGAGGUGGAGCCAAUCCCAGAAAGCCGAUCGUAGUCCGGAUCGGAGUCUGCAACUCGACUCCGUGAAGUCGGAAUCGCUAGUAAUCGUGGAUCAGCAUGUCACGGUGAAUACGUUCCCGGGUCUUGUACACACCGCCCGUCACACCAUGGGAGUGGGUUUCACCAGAAGUAGGUAGCCUAACCGCAAGGAGGGCGCUUACCACGGUGGGAUUCAUGACUGGGGUGAAGUCGUAACAAGGUA
Molecule: ribosomal RNA, 1496 nt
Filed under: uncultured bacterium
Lineage: Bacteria
Description: 16S ribosomal RNA
Rfam family: Bacterial small subunit ribosomal RNA
Source: RNAcentral